UUAAGCAUAUCAAUAAGCGGAGGAAAAGAAACCAACAGGGAUUGCCCUAGUAACGGCGAGUGAAGCGGCAACAGCUCAAAUUUGAAAUCUGGCUUCGGCCCGAGUUGUAAUUUGCAGAGGAUGUUUAUGGUGCGGUACCUUCCGAGUUCCCUGGAACGGGACGCCACAGAGGGUGAGAGCCCCGUCUGGUUGGAUACCAAACCUGUGUUAAACUCCUUCAACGAGUCGAGUAGUUUGGGAAUGCUGCUCUAAAUGGGAGGUAAAUCUCUUCUAAAGCUAAAUACCGGCCAGAGACCGAUAGCGCACAAGUAGAGUGAUCGAAAGAUGAAAAGCACCUUGAAAAGGGGGUUAAACAGUACGUGAAAUUGUUAAAAGGGAAGCGUUUAUGACCAGACUUGUGUCGUGUGGCUCAUCCGAGGUUCUCCCCGGUGCACUCCACACGGCUCAGGCCAACAUCGGUUUUCGUUGGGGGAUAAGAACAGCAGGAACGUGGCCCUUCUCGGAGGGUGUUAUAGCCUGCUGUACGAUACCCUGAUGGGGACCGAGGACCGCGCUUCGGCUAGGAUGUUGGCGUAAUGGUCAUUAGCGACCCGUCUUGAAACACGGACCAAGGAGUCGUCCAUUAGAGCGAGCGUUUGGGUGUAAAACCCGCACGCGUAAUGAAAGUGAAAUUAGGUGAGAGCUUCGGCGCAUCAUCGACCGAUCCUGAAGUUUACGGAAGGAUUUGAGUAAGAGUUUUAACGGACGGACCCGAAAGACAGUGAACUAUGCUUGAAUAGGGUGAAGCCAGAGGAAACUCUGGUGGAGGCUCGCAGCGGUUCUGACGUGCAAUCGAUCGUCAAAUUUGAGCAUGGGGGCGAAAGACUAAUCGAACUGUCUAGUAGCUGGUUACCGCC
RNAcentral lists this ribosomal RNA (896 nucleotides) under Gnomoniopsis occulta. RNAcentral's name for it is "LSU rRNA". It matches the Rfam family "Eukaryotic large subunit ribosomal RNA", at positions 34 to 962 of the family's 3401-position model. The record is from RNAcentral. Lineage: Eukaryota; Fungi; Ascomycota; Sordariomycetes; Diaporthales; Gnomoniaceae.